GAAACGAUGCUAAGACUGGAUAGGAAAUAAAAAGGCAUCUUUUUAUUUUUAAAAGACCUUUUUCGGAAGGUAUGCUUAAAGAGGGGCUUGCGUCACAUUAGUUAGUUGGCAGGGUAAAGGCCUACCAAGACUAUGAUGUGUAGCUGGACUGAGAGGUUGAACAGCCACAUUGGGACUGAGACACGGCCCAAACUCCUACGGGAGGCAGCAGUAGGGAAUUUUCGGCAAUGGAGGAAACUCUGACCGAGCAACGCCGCGUGAACGAUGAAGUAUUUCGGUAUGUAAAGUUCUUUUAUUGAAGAAGAAAAAAUAGUGGAAAAACUAUCUUGACGAUAUUCAAUGAAUAAGCCCCGGCAAACUAUGUGCCAGCAGCCGCGGUAAUACAUAGGGGGCGAGCGUUAUCCGGAAUUAUUGGGCGUAAAGGGUGCGUAGGCGGUUUAAUAAGUCUAUAGUUUAAUUUCAGUGCUUAACACUGUCCUGCUAUAGAAACUAUUAGACUAGAGUGAGAUAGAGGCAAGUGGAAUUCCAUGUGUAGCGGUAAAAUGCGUAAAUAUAUGGAGGAACACCAGAGGCGUAGGCGGCUUGCUGGGUCUUUACUGACGCUGAGGCACGAAAGCGUGGGGAGCAAACAGGAUUAGAUACCCUGGUAGUCCACGCCGUAAACGAUGAGUACUAAGUGUCGGGAUUACUCGGUACUGAAGUUAACACAUUAAGUACUCCGCCUGAGUAGUACGUACGCAAGUAUGAAACUUAAAGGAAUUGACGGGACUCCGCACAAGCGGUGGAUCAUGUUGUUUAAUUCGAAGAUACACGAAAAACCUUACCAGGUCUUGACAUACUCUGCAAAGCUAUAGCAAUAUAGUGGAGGUUAUCAGGGAUACAGGUGGUGCAUGGUUGUCGUCAGCUCGUGUCGUGAGAUGUUAGGUUAAGUCCUAAAACGAGCGCAACCCUUGUCAUUAGUUGCCAGCAUGUCAUGAUGGGCACUUUAAUGAGACUGCCAAUGAAAAAUUGGAGGAAGGUGAGGAUCACGUCAAAUCAUCAUGCCCCUUAUGAUCUGGGCUACAAACGUGAUACAAUGGCUGUUACAAAGAGUAGCUGAAACGCAAGUUUAUAGCCAAUCUCAUAAAAGCAGUCUCAGUUCGGAUUGAAGUCUGCAACUCGACUUCAUGAAGUUGGAAUCGCUAGUAAUCGCGAAUCAGCAUGUCGCGGUGAAUACGUUCUCGGGGUUUGUACACACCGCCCGG
RNAcentral lists this ribosomal RNA (1244 nucleotides) under Sugarcane whiteleaf phytoplasma. RNAcentral describes it as "bacterial SSU rRNA". It matches the Rfam family "Bacterial small subunit ribosomal RNA", at positions 154 to 1397 of the family's 1533-position model. Lineage: Bacteria; Bacillati; Mycoplasmatota; Mollicutes; Acholeplasmatales; Acholeplasmataceae. The record is from RNAcentral.